CGGGUGAGUAAUACAUCGGAACGUGCCCUGUAGUGGGGGAUAACUAGUCGAAAGAUUAGCUAAUACCGCAUACGACCUGAGGGUGAAAGUGGGGGACCGCAAGGCCUCAUGCUAUAGGAGCGGCCGAUGUCUGAUUAGCUAGUUGGUGGGGUAAAGGCCCACCAAGGCGACGAUCAGUAGCUGGUCUGAGAGGACGAUCAGCCACACUGGGACUGAGACACGGCCCAG
Molecule: ribosomal RNA, 228 nt
Filed under: uncultured bacterium
Lineage: Bacteria
Description: partial 16S ribosomal RNA
Rfam family: Bacterial small subunit ribosomal RNA
Source: RNAcentral